UACGAAGGGGGCUAGCGUUGUUCGGAAUUACUGGGCGUAAAGCGCGCGCAGGCGGUUUUUCAAGUCAGUGGUGAAAGCCCAGAGCUCAACUCUGGAAUUGCCUUUGAGACUGAGAGGCUUGAGUACGGGAGAGGUGAGUGGAAUUCCCAGUGUAGAGGUGAAAUUCGUAGAUAUUGGGAAGAACACCGGUGGCGAAGGCGGCUCACUGGCCCGAAACUGACGCUCAUGCACGACAGCGUGGGGAUCAAACAGG
Molecule: ribosomal RNA, 253 nt
Filed under: uncultured bacterium
Lineage: Bacteria
Description: partial 16S ribosomal RNA
Rfam family: Bacterial small subunit ribosomal RNA
Source: RNAcentral